CGCCAGCUGCCGAUCGGGGCAGUUGAAGGACCAAUCGGGGUCAGUGAA
This 48-nucleotide non-coding RNA is filed under the name unclassified sequences. Its description in RNAcentral is "gut-2 RNA". It matches the Rfam family "gut-2 RNA". Rfam says of the family: gut metagenomes. Environment (Cow rumen (57)) The record is from Rfam by way of RNAcentral.